AUGCACGCUGGCGGCGUGCCUAAUACAUGCCCGUCGAGCGAACGGACGAGAAGCUUGCUUUUCUGAUGUUAGCGGCGGACGGGUGAGUAACACGUGGAUAACCUACCUAUAAGACUGGGAUAACUUCGGGAAACCGGAGCUAAUACCGGAUAAUAUUUUGAACCGCAUGGUUCAAAAGUGAAAGACGGUCUUGCUGUCACUUAUAGAUGGAUCCGCGCUGCAUUAGCUAGUUGGUAAGGUAACGGCUUACCAAGGCAACGAUGCAUAGCCGACCUGAGAGGGUGAUCGGCCACACUGGAACUGAGACACGGUCCAGACUCCUACGGGAGGCAGCAGUAGGGAAUCUUCCGCAAUGGGCGAAAGCCUGACGGAGCAACGCCGCGUGAGUGAUGAAGGUCUUCGGAUCGUAAAACUCUGUUAUUAGGGAAGAACAUAUGUGUAAGUAACUGUGCACAUCUUGACGGUACCUAAUCAGAAAGCCACGGCUAACUACGUG
RNAcentral lists this ribosomal RNA (496 nucleotides) under uncultured bacterium. RNAcentral describes it as "partial 16S ribosomal RNA". It matches the Rfam family "Bacterial small subunit ribosomal RNA", at positions 29 to 507 of the family's 1533-position model. The record is from RNAcentral.